Molecule: long non-coding RNA, 897 nt
Organism: Cryptomeria japonica (Japanese cedar)
Lineage: Eukaryota; Viridiplantae; Streptophyta; Pinopsida; Cupressales; Cupressaceae
Exons: 3
Source: RefSeq, a predicted model, not a curated record
AUUUUUCUGGUAAGAGUUUGGCUGGUUCAAUUACAUCACAGACCCUCCACAAAUCAUCAUCUUUCUUCAUCUUCUGGAGCUUAUCCUUCAAUUUCAAUUUUCCCUUUAGUUUAUUCUCCUCUUCUUCACCCCAAACCAACCCUGAAACCUGCAAAAAUUCCUCUUCAAAUGAUAAGCCUUUCCACGCCUUCCAUAAAGAAGAUUGUGAAUGAUUGCCAACAUUUCAUCACCUGCUUGGAUAGUUUAUAUGCCACAUUUGGAAUGUUCUUAAGCUGUGUGCCUUUGCCCUGUUCAAUGAUGAAUUCUCUGGGGCUAUCCCUAAUGGUGGAAGGAUCAAAGGUUUUUACAGGAUUUUUUUCUCUACACAGGCCGAUCCAGCGGAGUAGUAGGCGUUGAAAGUAAAUCCUCGGUUUUCUCUUCUCUAAAUUCUUCAGCCAUAUCGAGAUUCGAACCUGUGACUUAAGGUUCAAACCCUGGAAUUCAAAAUUUGUAAGUUUUUCACAUUCUGGCUGGUAAAAGAUGAAGAGGCAAAACAGAGGAUCAGAAAAUAGCAAUCAAAUGAGAUCAAAUUCCCUCUUUCAGCCAUUCAUGGCACUGACAUUGGAUUCAUGGGUGGGCCCAUUUCUCAUGCUGGUAUUAGCACUUCUCACAGGCCAUUGACAACAGAGGAUUACUGAGUUGCAUCAUCAAAUUAGGUUUUUCCUUUUGCCCUUUUCUUUUUCCUUAUUUAAAAACUUAGGGUGUGGAAUUUUGUCUUUUGCAUGUAUUUUUGUAUUUAUUUUAUUUUAUUUUAAGUACUUUUUUUGUCAAAUUGUUAUGAUUGACAAUCAACUACUAGGAUUUUCCAUGGAUGGUAAUAAUUACAAGGAAGUUGCUAUCAUUGAAGUUGAUGUGUUU